RNAcentral lists this long non-coding RNA (2152 nucleotides) under Triticum aestivum (bread wheat). RNAcentral's name for it is "long non-coding RNA (TAES_LNC016179)". The record is from RNAcentral. Lineage: Eukaryota; Viridiplantae; Streptophyta; Magnoliopsida; Poales; Poaceae.
AGCUCUCCAAGUAAUGUUACAAGCUCUACAGGUGUUUUCUUCUUCAACAUGGAGAUCCUUCGAUAGAGAUCAAAUGCCGGACUCACUGUACGGCCAUAGUCAGGACUGGGCUAACAGAACGACUGCAUGCCCUCCAUGAUCGCCCUGUUACAUGAAUUAGCUAAGAAGAAUUAGAAAAAGUGGAGUAAAUGGAGUAAAGGACAAUUCAUUAUAGUAUGAUAAACACACAAAGCUCUAUCCAUAGUACCAGCAAUGGAUAACAAGAACAACUCCAGAUUAUUAGUUGAUUCAUUAUAGAAUAAUAUAGAACAAGCUCCCAGUUUGGAGCAAACAGUGGAUAAAAGCAUGCAACAGCAAUGGAACAAUCAUGCACACAGUAUAAUAAAAUGGAUAGAACAAUAAAAUGGAUAGAACAAUAACAAGAACAACUCCAGAUUACACACAAAGCUCUAUCCAUAGUACCAGCAAUGGAUAAAAUCAUGCACACAGUAUAAUUUUGACUAUGAUAUAACCAGAGAACUAAAUAUUCUACAUACUUUGAACUCAUCAACUAAUAAGUGAGAAUGAUCUAAUUGUAUGCAAACAAUCUUUUUUUAUUUGUUUAUAUUACUAAAACAGACAUCUUCCUUUAUGUGAAGAAGUCUGCUUCCUUCUUUAGUUAGUAGUAAUCGUUCCAUGCAAAUCAACCGUGUGUGUAUGCUUGAGCAUGGUCUGGAGAUUACAUUCAUAGAGGAACAGAAUCCUAAACAAAAUAGCAUCAAAUAGCGGUGGGUGCUCAACAUAUUUACCAUACACAAGCAACACUUAAACCAUAGCAUGUGCAUAUACUUGUGUCACAUUAGGGGGUUCAGAAUGUACACAGUAUAUUCUAAUAAAAAGGAUUGGGAGAAGAGGGAGAGGGAGGUGGAUAUGGACGUGCUACCUGCUGCUCCAGUGGUGCCUCUUGGUGGUCGUGCUUGAGCUCCUCCUGGUGCUGCGUGAAUCCAAGUGGCUCUGAAGCAAAAUCUCCAGCGGAACUACAAUGCAACGAAUAGUAAGUAACAGCAAUGUCUGCGACGUCUGCAAUGAACUUUUGAGCAGCUACAGCAACCAGCCUUGUUCCGCAGACCAAAAAAUUAGGAAAUAGAUUUAAAAACAUGUCAUUCAUGUGGACCAAUAAUCACUGAGUUGGAGGGGAAACUGCAGUUUCUCUCAGGCUGGAACUACAACGUGCUAAAACAACCCUAAGUGGUUCCAUUCAUGUGGAAGAAUACAGCUCAGGUGCUAAACCUGAAAACAAUAUGAUGUGCAGAAACUAGAUUUAAUUUAGUAUUAUAGGAACUUGAAUUUUGUUCACAGGUUAAUCCAACCCAAGUAAAAAUAGGCUAAAUAGAACAGAUAACUCCAUCUUCUUUGUUAAGGCUGAAAAGAGAAGGCAGCCAUCACAGUGAUCUUCUCUGUUAAGGCUGUGGGGGAUUGAAGGAUUGGUAAGAUCUGCUCGGUUUCUUUGAUUUGAAAGCUAAAGUUCGAAGCGAGUUGUGCAACAUCACAGUGAUCACAGAGUAUAGCACUGCUAGCUAGUCAUCUGCCCACGACUUCAUAGAAACAAGAAAAGUAAUGUCCACAUAUGACUCUUGUGCUGUCAAAAUCUGAAACCAGGCAUCCUUCUAAAUUAUAAGUACAUUUCAUGAUUUUGACACUCGUCACUUGUCAGACCCGGGAUCGCGUAUCUAUGCACUCGUAGGAAUACUACAGAUAAUUGAGUUUUUAUCAACACUUGGAGAAAGCACGGUAAAAGGUGUUAAAUGUUCCAAGAACAAAACUUUGUGGCUCAGGUAGCUAGCCUAACAUAGCCGCACUGAAUAAUCAGCUCAAACCCGCAGACAAAAUGACGCGUUCUAAUCUAGCAUUGCCUUCUAUUCUCAGGGAAGCAAGGGUAUGUUGCAGCCACAAGCUAACAGUAAACCAGGAACCUUAAACUUAACAGGGAAGAAAACUCCGACAUAAGAAUUCUCUGUCGAAGGAUUACCGGUCUGGUCUGGGGGCCAAGGACGCCAUUGAUGAAGGUGGCACUCAAGGUGGAGGCAGCAUACCCGAAUCCAAGGGCCCGAAACGCUGAUAUAUAUGAAGGAGAUCAAUUGCGCGUGAGAAAGAAUCCGAGAAUCAACCGGAU